UGAUGGUAAUCUACCUAUUUAUA
Molecule: small nuclear RNA, 23 nt
Filed under: Arabidopsis thaliana (thale cress)
Lineage: Eukaryota; Viridiplantae; Streptophyta; Magnoliopsida; Brassicales; Brassicaceae
Description: snRNA_08346
Source: RNAcentral